Non-coding RNA from Gammaproteobacteria bacterium, 97 nucleotides. The record is from Rfam. Lineage: Bacteria; Pseudomonadati; Pseudomonadota; Gammaproteobacteria.
UUCGGGUCACCUCGCAACGAUAUGUUGUGAACUCCGCCAGGCCCGGAAGGGAGCAACGGUAACAAUAGACUCGGGUGCUGAGAUCUGGCUUUUGUGG